RNAcentral lists this ribosomal RNA (497 nucleotides) under uncultured bacterium. Its description in RNAcentral is "partial 16S ribosomal RNA". It matches the Rfam family "Bacterial small subunit ribosomal RNA", at positions 28 to 507 of the family's 1533-position model. The record is from RNAcentral.
GAUGAACGCUGGCGGCGUGCCUAAUACAUGCAAGUCGAGCGAACAGACGAGGAGCUUGCUCCUCUGACGUUAGCGGCGGACGGGUGAGUAACACGUGGAUAACCUACCUAUAAGACUGGGAUAACUUCGGGAAACCGGAGCUAAUACCGGAUAAUAUAUUGAACCGCAUGGUUCAAUAGUGAAAGACGGUUUUGCUGUCACUUAUAGAUGGAUCCGCGCCGCAUUAGCUAGUUGGUAAGGUAACGGCUUACCAAGGCGACGAUGCGUAGCCGACCUGAGAGGGUGAUCGGCCACACUAGAACUGAGACACGGUCCAGACUCCUACGGGAGGCAGCAGUAGGGAAUCUUCCGCAAUGGGCGAAAGCUUGACGGAGCAACGCCGCGUGAGUGAUGAAGGUCUUCGGAUCGUAAAACUCUGUUAUUAGGGAAGAACAAAUGUGUAAGUAACUAUGCACGUCUUGACGGUACCUAAUCAGAAAGCCACGGCUAACUACGUG